Molecule: ribosomal RNA, 406 nt
Filed under: uncultured bacterium
Lineage: Bacteria
Description: partial 16S ribosomal RNA
Rfam family: Bacterial small subunit ribosomal RNA
Source: RNAcentral
AUUGAACGCUGGCGGCAGGCCUAACACAUGCAAGUCGAACGAGCGGCGGACGGGUGAGUAAUGUCUGGGACACUGCGUGAUGGAGGGGGAUCACAACUGGAAACGGUAGCUCAUACCGCAUACCAUCAGAUGUGCCCAGAUGGGAUUAGCUUGUAGGUGGGGUAACGGCUAACCUAGGCGCCGCACCCUAGCUGGUCUGAGAGGAUGACCAGCCACACUGGAACUGAGACCCGGUCCAGACUCCUACGGGAGGCAGCAGUGGGGAAUAUUGCACAAUGGGCGCAAGCCUGAUGCAGCCAUGCCGCGUGUGUGAAGAAGGCCGUCGGAUUGUAAAGCACUUUCAGCGGGGAGGCGUUACCCGCAGAAGAAGCACCGGCUAACUUCGUGCCAGCAGCCGCGGUAAUUC